UGCAGUCGAGGGGUAUAGUUCUUCGGAAUUAGAGACCGGCGCACGGGUGCGUAACGCGUAUGCAAUCUACCUUUCACAGAGGGAUAGCCCAGAGAAAUUUGGAUUAAUACCUCAUAGUAUAGUGAUACCGCAUGGUACUACUAUUAAAGUCACAACGGUGAAAGAUGAGCAUGCGUCCCAUUAGCUAGUUGGUAAGGUAACGGCUUACCAAGGCUACGAUGGGUAGGGGUCCUGAGAGGGAGAUCCCCCACACUGGUACUGAGACACGGACCAGACUCCUACGGGAGGCAGCAGUGAGGAAUAUUGGACAAUGGGCGCAAGCCUGAUCCAGCCAUGCCGCGUGCAGGAUGACGGUCCUAUGGAUUGUAAACUGCUUUUGUACGGGAAGAAACACUCCUUCGUGAAGGAGCUUGACGGUACCGUAAGAAUAAGGAUCGGCUAACUCCGUGCCAGCAGCCGCGGUAAUACGGAGGGUCCAAGCGUUAUCCGGAAUCAUUGGGUUUAAAGGGUCCGUAGGCGGUUUAGUAAGUCAGUGGUGAAAGCCCAUCGCUCAACGGUGGAACGGCCAUUGAUACUGCUAGACUUGAAUUAUUAGGAAGUAACUAGAAUAUGUAGUGUAGCGGUGAAAUGCUUAGAGAUUACAUGGAAUACCAAUUGCGAAGGCAGGUUACUACUAAUGGAUUGACGCUGAUGGACGAAAGCGUGGGUAGCGAACAGGAUUAGAUACCCUGGUAGUCCACGCCGUAAACGAUGGAUACUAGCUGUUGGGAGCGAUCUCAGUGGCUAAGCGAAAGUGAUAAGUAUCCCACCUGGGGAGUACGUUCGCAAGAAUGAAACUCAAAGGAAUUGACGGGGGGCCGCACAAGCGGUGGA
RNAcentral lists this ribosomal RNA (873 nucleotides) under uncultured bacterium. RNAcentral's name for it is "bacterial SSU rRNA". It matches the Rfam family "Bacterial small subunit ribosomal RNA", at positions 56 to 936 of the family's 1533-position model. The record is from RNAcentral.